GCAGUAGCCGCGGGAAUACGAAGGGUGCAAGCGUUACUCGGAAUCACUGGGCGUAAAGCGUGCGUAGGUGGUGGUUUAAGUCCGUUGUGAAAGCCCUGGGCUCAACCUGGGAAUUGCAGUGGAUACUGGGUCACUAGAGUGUGGUAGAGGAUAGUGGAAUUUCCGGUGUAGCAGUGAAAUGCGUAGAGAUCGGAAGGAACAUCUGUGGCGAAGGCGACUAUCUGGGCCAACACUGACACUGAGGCACGAAAGCGUGGGGAGCAAACAGGAUUAGAUACCCCAGUAGUCCCUGUCUCUUAUAA
RNAcentral lists this ribosomal RNA (302 nucleotides) under uncultured bacterium. RNAcentral describes it as "partial 16S ribosomal RNA". It matches the Rfam family "Bacterial small subunit ribosomal RNA", at positions 508 to 809 of the family's 1533-position model. The record is from RNAcentral.